AGAGUUUGAUCCUGACUCAGGAUGAACGCUAGCUACAGGCUUAACACAUGCAAGUCGAGGGGCAGCAUGGUCUUAGCUUGCUAAGGCCGAUGGCGACCGGCGCACGGGUGAGUAACACGUAUCCAACCUGCCGUCUACUCUUGGACAGCCUUCUGAAAGGAAGAUUAAUACAAGAUGGCAUCAUGAGUCCGCAUGUUCACAUGAUUAAAGGUAUUCCGGUAGACGAUGGGGAUGCGUUCCAUUAGAUAGUAGGCGGGGUAACGGCCCACCUAGUCUUCGAUGGAUAGGGGUUCUGAGAGGAAGGUCCCCCACAUUGGAACUGAGACACGGUCCAAACUCCUACGGGAGGCAGCAGUGAGGAAUAUUGGUCAAUGGGCGAGAGCCUGAACCAGCCAAGUAGCGUGAAGGAUGACUGCCCUAUGGGUUGUAAACUUCUUUUAUAAAGGAAUAAAGUCGGGUAUGCAUACCCGUUUGCAUGUACUUUAUGAAUAAGGAUCGGCUAACUCCGUGCCAGCAGCCGCGGUAAUACGGAGGAUCCGAGCGUUAUCCGGAUUUAUUGGGUUUAAAGGGAGCGUAGAUGGGUUGUUAAGUCAGUUGUGAAAGUUUGCGGCUCAACCGUAAAAUUGCAAUUGAUACUGGCAGUCUUGAGUACAGUUGAGGUAGGCGGAAUUCGUGGUGUAGCGGUGAAAUGCUUAGAUAUCACGAAGAACUCCGAUUGCGAAGGCAGCUUACUAACCUGUAACUGACAUUGAUGCUCGAAAGUGUGGGUAUCAAACAGGAUUAGAUACCCUGGUAGUCCACACGGUAAACGAUGAAUACUCGCUGUAGGCGAUAUACAGUCUGCGGCCAAGCGAAAGCAUUAAGUAUUCCACCUGGGGAGUACGCCGGCAACGGUGAAACUCAAAGGAAUUGACGGGGGCCCGCACAAGCGGAGGAACAUGUGGUUUAAUUCGAUGAUACGCGAGGAACCUUACCCGGGCUUAAAUUGCAACCGAAUAUGGCGGAAACGCUAUAGCUAGCAAUAGCGGUUGUGAAGGUGCUGCAUGGUUGUCGUCAGCUCGUGCCGUGAGGUGUCGGCUUAAGUGCCAUAACGAGCGCAACCCUUGCCGAUAGUUACUAACAGGUUAUGCUGAGGACUCUGUCGGGACUGCCAUCGUAAGAUGUGAGGAAGGUGGGGAUGACGUCAAAUCAGCACGGCCCUUACGUCCGGGGCUACACACGUGUUACAAUGGGGGGUACAGAGGGCUGCUACCACGCAAGUGGAUGCCAAUCCUAAAAACCUCUCUCAGUUCGGAUUGAAGUCUGCAACCCGACUUCAUGAAGCUGGAUUCGCUAGUAAUCGCGCAUCAGCCACGGCGCGGUGAAUACGUUCCCGGGCCUUGCACUCACCGCCCGUCAAG
This 1400-nucleotide ribosomal RNA is filed under the name uncultured bacterium. Its description in RNAcentral is "bacterial SSU rRNA". It matches the Rfam family "Bacterial small subunit ribosomal RNA". The record is from RNAcentral.